GGGGUCUUAGCUCAGCUGGGAGAGCAUCUGCCUUACAAGCAGAGGGUCCCAGGUUCGAGCCCUGUAGGCCCCA
RNAcentral lists this transfer RNA (73 nucleotides) under Mediterraneibacter gnavus. RNAcentral describes it as "[Ruminococcus] gnavus tRNA-Val". It matches the Rfam family "tRNA". From Rfam's summary of the family: Transfer RNA (tRNA) molecules are approximately 80 nucleotides in length. Lineage: Bacteria; Bacillati; Bacillota; Clostridia; Lachnospirales; Lachnospiraceae. The record is from RNAcentral.